RNAcentral lists this ribosomal RNA (253 nucleotides) under uncultured bacterium. Its description in RNAcentral is "partial 16S ribosomal RNA". It matches the Rfam family "Bacterial small subunit ribosomal RNA", at positions 524 to 776 of the family's 1533-position model. The record is from RNAcentral.
UACGUAGGUGGCAAGCGUUGUCCGGAAUUAUUGGGCGUAAAGCGCGCGCAGGCGGUCCCUUAAGUCUGAUGUGAAAGCCCACGGCUCAACCGUGGAGGGUCAUUGGAAACUGGGGGACUUGAGUGCAGAAGAGGAAAGUGGAAUUCCAUGUGUAGCGGUGAAAUGCGUAGAGAUGUGGAGGAACACCAGUGGCGAAGGCGACUUUCUGGUCUGUAACGGACGCUGAGGCGCGAAAGCGUGGGGAGCAAACAGG